Camelina sativa (false flax) is the source of this 759-nucleotide long non-coding RNA. RefSeq lists it as uncharacterized. Lineage: Eukaryota; Viridiplantae; Streptophyta; Magnoliopsida; Brassicales; Brassicaceae. The record is from RefSeq and is a predicted model, not a curated record.
CUAGGGUUGCCGCAUCUUAUCAAUCAUUAAACAAAUAUUCACUCUCUCUCUUCUCUCUCUCACUCUCUGAUUGUUGGUCACGUCGCCGAUAAUCUAUCCGUUGAGUCACCGGCUUAACAAUGGUCAAACACCAAUCUCUUUCCCAUGUUGCUGUUGGUGAUGCUGUAGUUACAGUUUCUAAAGCUUCUUAAUCUAGUAUUGUUGCUGUUGUGCUUGCUUCAAGUGUUUCUGAUGAGUCUAAGCUUAGUUCUGCAUCAGGUUUAGCUUCAGGCAUAGUGCUUGGUUUGUUUCAAGAUAGUAGGUGUAAGUUUGAAUCAAAGAAACCAUCUUUGAAGUCUGUUGAGGUAAGGCAGAGGAGGUAAGGCAUGAUCAUAUCACGAAGAACAACAGCACACCUGCACAUUGUCAAGAAUUGUUAGAACACAGACUGUGACGAGAUAACUACACGAUUCAAAAGAACGACCAUGUAAUUACCUAUAGGCAGUCGACACUUGUAAGGGAGAAGCAUUGGCAUAGCCACCCACUGUUAUGGGAACAGAAAACUCUGCUUCAAACACGGGCAGGACACCCAGUUUUCCCGGGAAAACAAACUGCUCUUUAGUAAACACGGGAAGGACACCCAGUCCUUCAACAAGUAUUGGGUUUGUAUUUUCACUUCCAUAUGUCCUUCUAUGUGUUUUCUUUGAGUAUGAUUAUUGUGUGAUAUGUUCGUGAAGGACUUUGAGUUUUAGUCUUAUUUAUUCUCAGUUCUUUUAACCA